RNAcentral lists this ribosomal RNA (497 nucleotides) under uncultured bacterium. Its description in RNAcentral is "partial 16S ribosomal RNA". It matches the Rfam family "Bacterial small subunit ribosomal RNA", at positions 28 to 507 of the family's 1533-position model. The record is from RNAcentral.
GAUGAACGCUGGCGGCGUGCCUAACACAUGCAAGUCGAGCGGAAAGACGAUGAGCUUGUGCCUUUGACGUUAGCGGCGGACGGGUGAGUAACGCGUGUAUCCCCUACUUAUCUUUCUGGGAUCAUCACGGAAAACCGGCGAUAAUACCGGAUAAUAUCUUGAACCGCAGGGUGCAAUGGUGAAAGUCGGCUUUGCUGUAUCUUAUAGCUGGUUACCCGCUGGAUGGGCUAGUUGGUAAGGUAACGGCUUACGAAGGCGACGAGGCGUAUCCGAGCGGAGAGGGUGAUCGGCCACACUGGAGCUGGGACACGGUCCAGACUACUACGGGAGGCAGCAGUAGGGAAUCUUCGGCAAUGGGCGAAAGCCUGACGGAGCAACGCCGCGUGAGUGAUGAAGGUCUUCGGAUCGUAAAACCCUGUUAUUGGGUAAGAACAGCUGUGGCAGUAGCCAUGGACGUCUUGACGGUACCUAAUCAAAAAGCAACGGCUAACUACGUG